RNAcentral lists this ribosomal RNA (2911 nucleotides) under Candidatus Carbonibacillus altaicus. Its description in RNAcentral is "23S ribosomal RNA". It matches the Rfam family "Bacterial large subunit ribosomal RNA". Lineage: Bacteria; Bacillati; Bacillota; Bacilli; Thermicanales; Thermicanaceae. The record is from RNAcentral.
GAAUAAGCGAGUAAGGGCGCACGGUGGAUGCCUAGGCACUAGGAGCCGAAGAAGGACGGGGCGAACGCCGAAACGCCUCGGGGAGCUGUAAGCGAGCGUCGAUCCGGGGAUGUCCGAAUGGGGGAACCCACUGUCUGUGAUGGGGCAGUAUCCUUAAGCUGAAUGCAUAGGCUAAGGAAGGCAACCGAGGGAACUGAAACAUCUCAGUACCUCGAGGAGAAGAAAGCAAACGCGAUUCCCUAAGUAGCGGCGAGCGAACGGGGAGGAGCCCAAACCGGGGAACCGGGGUUGUAGGACGCUCCAAGAGGAGUCAGAAAAAAGGUAGGUAGACGAAGGGACUUGGAAAAGUCCGCCAUAGGAGGUAAAAGCCCUGUAGUCGAAACCUAACUUUCUCCGGAGCGGAUCCUGAGUACCGCGGGGCACGAGGAACCCCGUGGGAAGCAGGGAGGCCCACCUCCCAAGGCUAAAUACUCCCUAGUGACCGAUAGUGAACCAGUACCGUGAGGGAAAGGUGAAAAGCACCGCGGGAGCGGAGUGAAAGAGAACCUGAAACCGUGUGCCUACAAGCAGUCGGAGCCCGUUUAAGGGUGACGGCGUGCCUUUUGUAGAAUGAACCGGCGAGUGACGGCAGCAUGCGAGGUUAAGGGGGAGACCCGGAGCCGAAGCGAAAGCGCGUCUUAAGAGGGCGGAAGUAUGCAGCCGUCGACCCGAAACCGGGUGAUCUACCCAUGUCCAGGGUGAAGGUAGGGUAAAGCCUACUGGAGGCCCGAACCCACUACUGUUGAAAAAGUAGGGGAUGAGGUGUGGGUAGGGGUGAAAAGCCAAACGAACCCGGAGAUAGCUGGUUCUCCCCGAAAUCGCUUUAGGGCGAGCCUUAAGAUAGCACAUGGGAGGUAGAGCACUGAUUGGGUGCGGGGUCCGCGAGGAUUACCAAGCCUAGUCAAACUCCGAAUGCCCAGAGUGUGUUUCUUAGGAGUCAGACGACGAGCGCUAAGGUCCGUCGUCGAGAGGGAAAGAGCCCAGACCACCCGCUAAGGUCCCGAAAGGUGUGCUCAGUGGCAAACGAUGUGGUGCUGCGAAGACAACCAGGAUGUUGGCUUAGAAGCAGCCACCAUUGAAAGAGUGCGUAAUAGCUCACUGGUCGAGUGGUGCUGCGCGGAAAAUGUAACGGGGCUUAAGCACACUACCGAAGCGAUGGGUACGUAAAGUACGGUAGGGGAGCGUUCCCUUGACGUAGAAGGAUGACCGUGAGGACAUCUUAAGUUAAGGGAAGUGAGAAUGCCGGUGUGAGUAACGAAAAGACGGGUGAGAAUCCCGUCCGCCGAAAGCCUAAGGUUUCCUGAGGAAGGUUCGUCCGCUCAGGGUGAGUCGGGACCUAAGGCGAGGCCGAAAGGCGUAGUCGAUGGGAAACAGGUUCAUAUUCCUGUACCACACCGAACCGAUUGAGCGAAGGGGUGACGCAGGAGGCAAGUGUUUGCGCGCGGGAUGGAAGAGCGCGUCCAAGCGGCAAGAGGGGUGGAUAGGCAAACCCGUCCACCGUGACCUUAAGCCGUGAUGGGGAGGGAAAAAGAGUACCGAAGAAACAUGCGUCAAACUGCCAAGAAAAGCCUCUAGCGAGGUUUAGGUGUGCCCGUACCGCAAACCGACACAGGUGGGCGAGGAGAGGAUCCUAAGGCGCGCGAGAGAACUCUUGCUAAGGAACUCGGCAAAAAGACCCCGUAACUUCGGGAGAAGGGGUGCCCCUCGUGAGGGGGGCCGCAGAGAAAUGGCCCAAGCGACUGUUUAGCAAAAACACAGGUCUCUGCGAAGCCGUAAGGCGACGUAUAGGGGCUGACGCCUGCCCGGUGCUGGAAGGUUAAGGGGAAAGGUAAGCGGGGAACUGCGAAGCUUUGAACCGAAGCCCCAGUAAACGGCGGCCGUAACUAUAACGGUCCUAAGGUAGCGAAAUUCCUUGUCGGGUAAGUUCCGACCCGCACGAAAGGCGUAACGACUUGGGCGCUGUCUCGGCAAGAGGCUCGGUGAAAUCGUAAUACCUGUGAAGAUGCAGGUUACCCGCGACUAGACGGAAAGACCCCAUGGAGCUUUACUGUAGCCUGAUAUUGUGGCGGGCCUGUCGAUGUACAGGAUAGGUAGGAGCCUAAGAAGCAUGCUCGUCAGGGUAUGUGGAGGCGAUGGUGGGAUACUACCCUUCGAUAGGCUAGCGACUCACCAGAGGCCCUAAGCGGGUCAUGGGACAGUGUCAGGUGGGCAGUUUGACUGGGGCGGUCGCCUCCUAAAGGGUAACGGAGGCGUCCCAAAGGUCCCCUCAGCGCGGAUGGAAAUCGCGCGGAGCGUGCAAAGGCGAGAAGGGGGCUUGACUGCGAGACCGACGGGUCGAGCAGGGACGAAAGUCGGGCUUAGUGAUCCGGUGGUUCCGAGUGGAAGGGCCAUCGCUCAACGGAUAAAAGCUACCCCGGGGAUAACAGGCUAAUCUCCCCAAGAGUCCACAUCGACGGGGAGGUUUGGCACCUCGAUGUCGGCUCAUCGCAUCCUGGGGCUGGAGUAGGUCCCAAGGGUUGGGCUGUUCGCCCAUUAAAGCGGUACGCGAGCUGGGUUCAGAACGUCGUGAGACAGUUCGGUCCCUAUCUGUCGUGGGCGUAGGAAAUUUGAGGGGAACUGACCCUAGUACGAGAGGACCGGGAUGGACGUACCGCUGGUGUACCAGUUGUGCCGCCAGGUGCAUCGCUGGGUAGCCAAGUACGGAAGAGAUAAGCGCUGAAAGCAUCUAAGCGCGAAGCUCACCCCAAGAUGAGAUUUCCCACUGGCUUAAGCCAGGUAAGACCCCUUGUAGACGACGAGGUUGAUCGGUCCUGGGUGGAAGUGUGGUAACACAUGAAGCUUUGGGAUACGAAUCGGUCGAGGGCUUAUUCAU